This 77-nucleotide transfer RNA is filed under the name Ilumatobacter sp. RNAcentral's name for it is "tRNA-Pro". It matches the Rfam family "tRNA". Rfam says of the family: Transfer RNA (tRNA) molecules are approximately 80 nucleotides in length. Their secondary structure includes four short double-helical elements and three loops (D, anti-codon, and T loops). The record is from RNAcentral. Lineage: Bacteria; Bacillati; Actinomycetota; Acidimicrobiia; Acidimicrobiales; Ilumatobacteraceae.
CGGGGUGUAGCGCAGCUUGGUAGCGCGCCACGUUCGGGACGUGGAGGCCGGGAGUUCAAAUCUCCCCACCCCGACAA